This 198-nucleotide ribosomal RNA is filed under the name uncultured bacterium. RNAcentral describes it as "partial 16S ribosomal RNA". It matches the Rfam family "Bacterial small subunit ribosomal RNA", at positions 328 to 539 of the family's 1533-position model. The record is from RNAcentral.
ACGCUCGACACCUACGGGAGGCAGCAGUGGGGAAUAUUGCACAAUGGGGGAAACCCUGAUGCAGCGACGCCGCGUGAGCGAAGAAGUAUUUCGGUAUGUAAAGCUCUAUCAGCAGGGAAGAAACUGACGGUACCUGACUAAGAAGCACCGGCUAAAUACGUGCCAGCAGCCCCGGUAAUCUGAGCGGGCUGGCAAGGC